Molecule: long non-coding RNA, 1934 nt
Filed under: Nicotiana tabacum (common tobacco)
Lineage: Eukaryota; Viridiplantae; Streptophyta; Magnoliopsida; Solanales; Solanaceae
Description: long non-coding RNA (NTAB_LNC009880)
Source: RNAcentral
AUACCCAGCUCCCCACCACCCAUCUCGUCGACUUUGACCCGCCGGACCUUCCGCCAACGACGCCAUAUCCGGCGAGCUUCACCUUCACACACACACAGCCACGCACAUGAACGUAGUGAGGGAACGAGCAUAAGGCAGGUUUGAGAUUUCAAAAAGUCGAAAAACAGUACAAAAAAUGUUUCGUCUUCCUCGUCCUUGGUUUGAUUCUUAGUUUUUGAAACAUGGAUGUUUAGCUGAAGUCUGGAGUUGUUUGUGAGUUUGAGUCAUGUGGAAGUUGCCGUACGUUGGUUUCGGUCUUUAGUUAUCGCUGUCCAUUUUUUGUCCGUCGAGCUCGAGCUGCUAAAACCCAACGUUGUUGUAAAUGUGAGUUUUCUUGUCUAUGUUCUCUUAGAGGUCUAAAUGCCGCCUUUAAUGCCUCUUUCGGUCUUCCUCUAUAUGGGUGUUAUGAAGUAAUUUGCUUCUGUUUGUAUGUUUCCAUAUUAAUUAGAAGUGUACAUUUCAUUUAGAGUUUUGGUUGAAUGUCUCUUAUGUUUGUUCAAGUCAUGGAAAAUGUUCAUAUUUCCUUUUUAACAGUGUUGAUUUGGAAAUCAGUUUAGGGUGGUUUCUUGCAAUUUUUUUUUAUUUUAUUGAAUCAUUAAUAUGAGUAUGAUCCAGAAUAAAUUGGGACUCCUUACGUACUUUAAUUAAUUAGUCUUGAAUCCUUGUAAAAAAUGGAAUUGAGGUGUGCCGCGCCAAGCAAAUCUUAAAAUGCAUGGCCCUCUACUAAUUUCUUAUGAUUUAGAUAUAAAAUAACAAAUGUUCGUAGUUUGCUUUAGGCCCGUUUAAUAUACCACCGUGAUCGUGAACACGUUCGCAUGACAUGAUUACGGUUUCUAAAAAUAAAAUCGGAGUAUGCGUUUGCGCAACUUCGGCUAAACUUUCUUAAUAAUAAUAAUGCGUUAUUAAUUGUGGACAUGUUCGCAUGACAUGAUUUUGACACGCCAAACAGACAGGUACACGUACGCGUGACCCGUUUCAAGAUAAUUUUCUUAAUUUAAAAGCGGUAAAAGGUAAAUGCACAUAGGUUCUAAAAUCAGUAAUUAAAUAAUUUUAGUAAGCCAAGUAUGAUCAAAGCGACCGUGUUAGAACCACAGAACUCGGGAGUGCCUAACACCUUCUCCCGGGUUUACAGAAUUCCUUACUCGGAUUUUCGGUUCGCGGAUUGUUAAACAGAGUCAAUCUUUCCUCGAUUCGGGAUUCAAUCGGUGACUUGGGACACCGUAAAUCUCCCAAGUGGUGACUCUGAAUCUUUAAUAAAUAAAUCCCAUUUCGAUUGUCCUUUAAUUAGAAAAACUCCCUUUCAUACUCCCUUUGCAGGGGUGUAGUAAAAAGGAGGUGUGACAGAAGUUCUUGAGUCUUUUUCUUGUCUUCAGGUAGUAUUCCAUACUGCAAAAAAUUGAUAAUCUCUUUUCUCCAAUCCCAAGUUAGAUUAUUGUAAUUUACCUUGUUUUUGUCUUUGCCGAGCACUGAAUGAAACAAAUGUAUCACGAAAGCGUUUUCUUCAUUUGUUACUUCCGCAGCGGAUGCAAGAUUAGCUAGAGCAUCUGCCUCAACAUUUUUUCCCUUGGAAUCUGCAUGACUUUCCAAGUUUGAAAUUGCCUGACCAAAUCUCGUGCCUUUUCCAGGUAUUGUUGCAUCCUUGCUUCUCUAGCUGUAUACGUCCCAUGCAUUUGGUUAACCACGAGUUGCGAAUUGCUUUUGAUUAUAACCUGCUCUAUUCUGAGCUCUCGCGCCAAUUCCAAACCUGCAAUCACAGCUUCAUAUUCUUCCUCAUUAUUAGUGAUUGGAUGACACUUUAUUGCUUGUCGUAUGGUUUCACGCGCAGGUGAUACCAGGACAAUACCUAGACCUGUACCUUUUACAUUUGAUGAACCGUUAGUAAAUAAAGUCCAAGU